Molecule: ribosomal RNA, 650 nt
Filed under: Salinicola salarius
Lineage: Bacteria; Pseudomonadati; Pseudomonadota; Gammaproteobacteria; Oceanospirillales; Halomonadaceae
Description: bacterial SSU rRNA
Rfam family: Bacterial small subunit ribosomal RNA
Source: RNAcentral
GCACGCCGGUUGUGAAAGCCCCGGGCUCAACCUGGGAACGGCAUCCGGAACGGCCAGACUAGAGUGCAGGAGAGGAAGGUAGAAUUCCCGGUGUAGCGGUGAAAUGCGUAGAGAUCGGGAGGAAUACCAGUGGCGAAGGCGGCCUUCUGGCCUGACACUGACACUGAGGUGCGAAAGCGUGGGUAGCAAACAGGAUUAGAUACCCUGGUAGUCCACGCCGUAAACGAUGUCGACUAGCCGUUGGGACCUUUAAGGACUUAGUGGCGCAGUUAACGCGAUAAGUCGACCGCCUGGGGAGUACGGCCGCAAGGUUAAAACUCAAAUGAAUUGACGGGGGCCCGCACAAGCGGUGGAGCAUGUGGUUUAAUUCGAUGCAACGCGAAGAACCUUACCUACCCUUGACAUCCAGAGAACUUGGCAGAGAUGCCUUGGUGCCUUCGGGAACUCUGAGACAGGUGCUGCAUGGCUGUCGUCAGCUCGUGUUGUGAAAUGUUGGGUUAAGUCCCGUAACGAGCGCAACCCUUGUCCCUAUUUGCCAGCGAUUCGGUCGGGAACUCUAGGGAGACUGCCGGUGACAAACCGGAGGAAGGUGGGGACGACGUCAAGUCAUCAUGGCCCUUACGGGUAGGGCUACACACGUGCUACAAUGG